GACGAACGCUGGCGGCGUGCUUAACACAUGCAAGUCGAACGGUGAUGCUCCAGCUUGCUGGUGUGGAUCAGUGGCGAACGGGUGAGUAACACGUGAGCAUCCUGCCCCAGACUCUGGAAUAAGCGCUGGAAACGGCGUCUAAUACUGGAUACGAAACUGGCCCGCAUGGGCAUGGUUUGGAAAGUUUUUCGGUUUGGGAUGGGCUCGCGGCCUAUCAGCUUGUUGGUGAGGUAAUGGCUCACCAAGGCGACGACGGGUAGCCGGCCUGAGAGGGCGACCGGCCACACUGGGACUGAGACACGGCCCAGACUCCUACGGGAGGCAGCAGUGGGGAAUAUUGCACAAUGGGCGAAAGCCUGAUGCAGCGACGCCGCGUGAGGGAUGACGGCCUUCGGGUUGUAAACCUCUUUCAGCAGGGAAGAAGCGAAAGUGACGGUACCUGCAGAAGAAGCACCGGCUAACUACGUG
RNAcentral lists this ribosomal RNA (468 nucleotides) under uncultured bacterium. RNAcentral's name for it is "partial 16S ribosomal RNA". It matches the Rfam family "Bacterial small subunit ribosomal RNA", at positions 28 to 507 of the family's 1533-position model. The record is from RNAcentral.